RNA transcript from Octodon degus (degu), 550 nucleotides. It is a transcript of the gene named RNMT-activating mini protein-like, with no coding region annotated. NCBI's taxonomy places the organism in Eukaryota, Metazoa, Chordata, Mammalia, Rodentia, Octodontidae. The transcript has a single exon. The record is from RefSeq and is a predicted model, not a curated record.
AUGACUGACACAUCUGAAGCUAUUCCAAACUUUGAAGAGAUGUUUGCAAACAGAUUCACAGAAGAUGAUAAAGAAUACCAGGAAUAUUUGAAACGCCCCCCGAAUCCCCUCCAGUUAUUGAAGAAUGGAAUAGCAGAGCUGGUGGGAACCAAAGAAACAGAGGCAAUCAGUUGCAAGAUAACAGACAGUUUAGAGGUAGGGACAGCAGACGGGGGUGGCCAAGUGACAAUCGAUCAAACCAGUGGCAUGGACGAUCCUGGGGUAACAAUUACCCACAGCACAGACAAGAGCCUUACUAUCCGCAGCAAUAUGGACAAUAUGGUUAUAACCAGCGGCCUCCAUACGGUUACUACUGAUAGAAAUGGUGGUGACAUCUUUUAGUAAAAUCAUUUGCUUUGUUAAUACGACAAAAAUUCGUGUGUGUUCUGUUGUCACAGUUUUCCAUCACAUUUUAGAGAAUGGAUCAUUAAUGUUUUUGAACUUGAGACUUUAAAAAAUAGAUCUUACAGAAAGAUGUAAUGGUUGCUGAGAAUAAAUACUCCCUUGAAAA